Small nuclear RNA from Exaiptasia diaphana, 153 nucleotides. RefSeq annotates it as U12 minor spliceosomal RNA. The record is from RefSeq and is a predicted model, not a curated record. NCBI's taxonomy places the organism in Eukaryota, Metazoa, Cnidaria, Anthozoa, Actiniaria, Aiptasiidae. The transcript has a single exon.
UUGCCUUAAACUAAUGAGUAAGGAAAAUAACGAUCUGGGUGACGCCAGAUCCUUACGAUAAGUUUCGUAUAYCAAUUUUUGACGGAAAAGAGGUUGCCCUCGAGUGACCCGCUUACUUCUGCGGGAUGCUCGUGUUGAUAGCGACCUCCGUCC